RNAcentral lists this ribosomal RNA (250 nucleotides) under uncultured bacterium. RNAcentral's name for it is "partial 16S ribosomal RNA". It matches the Rfam family "Bacterial small subunit ribosomal RNA", at positions 356 to 623 of the family's 1533-position model. The record is from RNAcentral.
UGGGAAUAUUGGACAAUGGGCGCAAGCCUGAUCCAGCCAUGCCGCGUGAGUGAUGAAGGCCCUAGGGUUGUAAAGCUCUUUCACCGGUGAAGAUAAUGACGGUAACCGGAGAAGAAGCCCCGGCUAACUUCGUGCCAGCAGCCGCGGUAAUACGAAGGGGGCUAGCGUUGUUCGGAAUUACUGGGCGUAAAGCGCACGUAGGCGGAUACUUAAGUUAGGGGUGAAAUCCCAGGGCUCAACCCUGGAACUG